Molecule: transfer RNA, 67 nt
Filed under: Dreissena polymorpha
Lineage: Eukaryota; Metazoa; Mollusca; Bivalvia; Myida; Dreissenidae
Description: tRNA-Gly
Source: RNAcentral
AAAAUAGUAGUAUAGUAGUAUUUUUUCCUUCCAAGAAAAAGGCCCAGCAAAGUCGAUGGCUAUUUUA